AACUUGCCCAAGGUCACAGAGCCAAGAGGUGGCUGAAGCCAGACUUGAACCCAGGCAUUCAGCUAAGAAACUGCAUUCUUAAGCAAAACAUCACAAGACCUGCUCUAGAGAAAGUGUUCCUGCCUCCUGCUAGGCAAGGUGAUGCCCUAGGGGAAAGGAAGGAGGAGAAAGCAGAUACCCACAACAGGUGAAGGAGAGAAAGCAGUCCCACAGACACCCCUCUCUGCUGGAAAGUCCUUCCUAUCUGACUCCAGUCCCACUUGCUGGAGGAGUUCCCCUCAUUUUGUUUCUG
RNAcentral lists this long non-coding RNA (292 nucleotides) under Pan troglodytes (chimpanzee). Its description in RNAcentral is "long non-coding RNA NONPTRT007068". The record is from RNAcentral. Lineage: Eukaryota; Metazoa; Chordata; Mammalia; Primates; Hominidae.